GUGUGUAGAUUUAUUUUUAUUAUCUGUAUACAACUCCCAAUAUCUCAGAUAAGGUACUCGCUCAAGUAUCAUUGCAAAGUUUUCGACAUGCAACACUGAUUGCGCCAAGAUACUCCAAGCAUAUUCCCAAACCCUCUAUUCGGAAUCAAUUUCAUUUAUCUUUUAAUUUUUUUAACUUUUAAGUUUUACCAUAUGCUUGCAUUGUUUUAUUAUUUUUUUAGUGUGUGUAAAUUUCUUUGUCAAACUUGCGGUUAUGUGUAUUGAAACUGAAUUAUUAUCCAGUCAGGAUAUUUUUGUUGUUGUUGAUAACAGACUCCACGAGGGCGUCAACCCAAUAGAGUUUAUCUAAUUCACACCUAGUUUCAUGGAAGAUGAGGCGGGUCUUUCAGUAUCUUGACCUCAUGUAAAGGAAAACAGGAUAAAAACAAGAUAUCCAAUUAUAUUAAAAGACAUCUUGUUGAUAUAAAUCAUUUGGUUGUAAGUUCCAGUACCAUGGAAAACAAUACAAUGUAACUAGCUUUUUCAAAAAGAGUCGAUAUAUUAUAUAAAAAAAAACAUACAACAUAGUCAGAUCUUUAGAACUCCUAACACGGGUAACAUAUUUUGAUUUCACUAAUAUCUUAUGUUUACUUAUAUAAAUGUGAAGUUAGGUGAAAUAUCAAAUAUCAAAUUAUGUAAUAGAAUAGAGAAUGAAGAUUGAGUCAUAGACAACUUAAGAGCAGAAAGCAUCCGAAGUCCAUCAAUAGGUUUGCAGCCAGAAAAUCCAGCACAAUAAGGCGGGCUUUAGCUGGUAAAGAUUUAUUGUUUGUGUUGUUUAAAAAUACAAAAUGACAUUAUACUAAAGAUAAUUACCACUUGUAUAAACAUGUUCGCAUAAUAUCAUUUAACAUCAGCACAUUAUUUGUUUCGUGACACUGGAGUUGUAUAUUCUGUAUCUUAACACCAUGCCAAUGAGCUUUAUCUUCACAGCUUAUGUCGGAAUAAUAAGUUUAAUUUACUGAUAAACAACAAUAAAGCUUAAUAGAAUUAAUGCAGGGUAUUGUCACCCAAGAACACAGCACUAUUUGCAGUGUUUCCAGAGAAUUUUAGAAAGCAUACAGUGCUUGUAAAUGAUAAUAAGUAAAAUUUGCUAUGAAUCUAAAUUAUUUUGAUAUAUUUUUGGUAUACAGAUAUCAUAUAAAAAUAAUGUUAUCAAUGAUUCAUGAAAAUAAGUUCAAAGUAACAUGCACCCAGCUGUCAAAUUAACCUGUUUCCCUUUUAGGCAUUCCAUACAUAAAUGGUAGUUAACCGGUUGCAAAUACAAUGUAGUAUCAGAAACAAGUAUUAGUUUCACCAACAGUUCGUGAAAAUUGAGUCUAGGCAGGAUAAACCCUGCCAAACGGACAAGUUCAUCUGAUAACUAUUCCAUACAUCCAAUAUAGCUAUAGAUUACAGGAGCAGGAUCUGCAUACCGUUUUGGAGCUUCUAAGAUCACUUCGGUUUAUGAAUGGUUUCGUAUAGUGCAUACUACUCAUUUUUCUUUAUAAUACCAAAAUAUAUCUAAGAUAACAAAAUGCACAACUUUCUUAGUUCAUUUUUCACUAUCUGAAAACAGUCAGUAAUUUCAUUUUCAAAUAUCUCCGCUGAGGUAAAUUAACUAGUCUGAGAGGCUCUCCAGAGCCUGUGUCGCUCACCUGUAUCUUCUGUGGUUUUUGGCAAUCAUGUAAAAUAAGGCCUAAACCAUAAUAAAUAGAAUUAGAUAGUACCCUAAUUAUGAUUCAAGGUGAGCUAAUAUUACAUUAUAACAAAUCAAAAAUACUGCAACCUUCAAAUUUGAUGUUGUCAACAGGUGCCGCAUCACCCCUUUCCUUUCAAUGUAUACAUUAAUUUUCUUGGGUAAUUUUUGUCUGAAAAAGUUAUUUUAGAGAAAAGUAAUAACGGAUAUUUCAAUCGACCAGGAUGGAUUAUAAUUUCGUCCCAUUUACAGUGAAUCAUGUCAAUUCUUCGUUGAUAAAUAUUGACAAGUUCAAUUACACAUAAGUGAGAGACCACAAAACAUUUGUGGUUUAUGUAUAUUGAGAUACAGUUACUGGUUGAACGAUAAAACACGGAUUAAUAACAGUUUUCGUGACUUGAUCGAUUUAUCUGGCACGCUAUCACACACAGGUACAUGUAUCAUUUCAG
RNAcentral lists this long non-coding RNA (2163 nucleotides) under Mytilus galloprovincialis (Mediterranean mussel). The record is from RNAcentral. Lineage: Eukaryota; Metazoa; Mollusca; Bivalvia; Mytilida; Mytilidae.